Molecule: ribosomal RNA, 497 nt
Filed under: uncultured bacterium
Lineage: Bacteria
Description: partial 16S ribosomal RNA
Rfam family: Bacterial small subunit ribosomal RNA
Source: RNAcentral
GAUGAACGCUGGCGGCGUGCCUAAUACAUGCAAGUCGAGCGAACAGACGAGGAGCUUGCUCCUCUGACGUUAGCGGCGGACGGGUGAGUAACACGUGGAUAACCUACCUAUAAGACUGGGAUAACUUCGGGAAACCGGAGCUAAUACCGGAUAAUAUAUUGAACCGCAUGGUUCAAUAGUGAAAGACGGUUUUGCUGUCACUUAUAGAUGGAUCCGCGCCGGAUUAGCUAGUUGGUAAGGUAACGGCUUACCAAGGCAACGAUGCGUAGCCGACCUGAGAGGGUGAUCGGCCACACUGGAACUGAGACACGGUCCAGACUCCUACGGGAGGCAGCAGUAGGGAAUCUUCCGCAAUGGGCGAAAGCCUGACGGAGCAACGCCGCGUGAGUGAUGAAGGUCUUCGGAUCGUAAAACUCUGUUAUUAGGGAAGAACAAAUGUGUAAGUAACUAUGCACGUAUUGACGGUACCUAAUCAGAAAGCCACGGCUAACUACGUG